GCUGUGAUGACUUUUUUUGGUGUUGUUCAUCUGAAAUGAUGGUGCUUAUAUGUCCUCUAAGAAGUUCUGAGCUC
RNAcentral lists this small nucleolar RNA (74 nucleotides) under Cyanoderma ruficeps (rufous-capped babbler). RNAcentral describes it as "Small nucleolar RNA SNORD61 (ENSCRFG00000009639.1)". It matches the Rfam family "Small nucleolar RNA SNORD61". From Rfam's summary of the family: U61 belongs to the C/D class of snoRNA which contain the C (UGAUGA) and D (CUGA) box motifs. Lineage: Eukaryota; Metazoa; Chordata; Aves; Passeriformes; Timaliidae. The record is from Rfam by way of RNAcentral.